RNAcentral lists this ribosomal RNA (459 nucleotides) under uncultured bacterium. RNAcentral's name for it is "partial 16S ribosomal RNA". It matches the Rfam family "Bacterial small subunit ribosomal RNA", at positions 338 to 795 of the family's 1533-position model. The record is from RNAcentral.
CCUACGGGGGACAGCAGUGAGGAAUAUUGGUCAAUGGCCGCGAGGCUGAACCAGCCAAGUCGCGUGAGGGAAGACGGCCCUACGGGUUGUAAACCUCUUUUGUCGAGGAGUAAAGCGAACCACGUGUGGUUCAUUGAGAGUACCCGAAGAAAAAGCAUCGGCUAACUCCGUUCCAGCAGCCGCGGUAAUACGGAGGAUGCGAGCGUUAUCCGGAUUUAUUGGGUUUAAAGGGUGCGCAGGCGGAGGUGCAAGUCAGCGGUCCAAUUGCGGGGCUCAACCCCGUACUGCCGUUGAAACUGCAUGCCAUGAGUGCGAGAGAAGUAGGCGGAAUGCGUGGGGUAGCGGUGAAAUGCAUAGAUAACACGCAGAACUCCGAUGGCGAAGGCAGCAUACCGGCGCGCAACUGACGCUCAUGCACGAAAGCGUGGGUAUCGAACAGGAUUAGAUACCCCUGUAGUC